This 125-nucleotide ribosomal RNA is filed under the name Escherichia coli. RNAcentral describes it as "partial 16S ribosomal RNA". It matches the Rfam family "Bacterial small subunit ribosomal RNA", at positions 1421 to 1533 of the family's 1533-position model. The record is from RNAcentral. Lineage: Bacteria; Pseudomonadati; Pseudomonadota; Gammaproteobacteria; Enterobacterales; Enterobacteriaceae.
AAGAAGUAGGUAGCUUAACUUUCGGGAGGGCGCUUACCACUUUGUGAUUCAUGACUGGGGUGAAGUCGUAACAAGGUAACCGUAGGGGAACCUGCGGUUGGAUCACCUCCUUACCUUAAAGAAGC